RNAcentral lists this ribosomal RNA (479 nucleotides) under uncultured bacterium. RNAcentral's name for it is "partial 16S ribosomal RNA". It matches the Rfam family "Bacterial small subunit ribosomal RNA", at positions 28 to 507 of the family's 1533-position model. The record is from RNAcentral.
GAUGAACGCUAGCGGGAGGCCUAACACAUGCAAGCCGAGCGGUAGAGUUCCUUCGGGAACUUGAGAGCGGCGUACGGGUGCGUAACACGUGUGCAACCUACCUUUAUCUGGGGGAUAGCCUUUCGAAAGGAAGAUUAAUACCCCAUAAUAUAAUGAUUGGCAUCAAUUAUUAUUGAAAACUCCGGUGGAUAGAGAUGGGCACGCGCAAGAUUAGAUAGUUGGUGAGGUAACGGCUCACCAAGUCAAUGAUCUUUAGGGGUCCUGAGAGGGAGAUCCCCCACACUGGUACUGAGACACGGACCAGACUCCUACGGGCGGCAGCAGUGAGGAAUAUUGGACAAUGGGUGAUAGCCUGAUCCAGCCAUCCCGCGUGAAGGAUGACGGUCCUAUGGAUUGUAAACUUCUUUUGUACAGGGAUAAACCUACUCUCGUGAGGGUAGCUGAAGGUACUGUACGAAUAAGCACCGGCUAACUCCGUG